GGCGGGGCCGAGGGGCCGAACCCGCGGGGGGAGGGGCGGCGUCGGUCACAUGACGCGGUUUCACUGUUUACACGCGGAGCGGCCGGAUCCUUCGGCCUCAGUCAGGCGCUCGGCUCCGUUUCGGUU
Molecule: unclassified non-coding RNA, 126 nt
Organism: Bos indicus x Bos taurus (hybrid cattle)
Lineage: Eukaryota; Metazoa; Chordata; Mammalia; Artiodactyla; Bovidae
Source: Ensembl